Molecule: unclassified non-coding RNA, 437 nt
Filed under: Hevea brasiliensis (rubber tree)
Lineage: Eukaryota; Viridiplantae; Streptophyta; Magnoliopsida; Malpighiales; Euphorbiaceae
Source: RNAcentral
UGUGGGUAUUUCAGGAGCUAGUUUCUUAGUAGGGAUGUGGUGCACCUCAUUAUGAGGCUCAACAGCAGCAAUUCGGAGGAGCUGAGAGUUGCGAGUAGAAGUGGGAGUGUCAUCUUCUUCAAAAUCCUUGACAGACUUGACAAUUGGGAGCUUCUUGUGAAUGUCUAAUGGCCGAGGCCUGAAUGAAAGCCUACUCAUUAUCUUUUCAUGUACAUGUGUGUUUCCUGCAUUCCCAUUGCCUAUGCCAGUCUCUUGCUAAUUCUGUAGAGUAAAUUGGAGUCUAGGGUUCAAUACAAGAAAGAACUCAAAGAAAGAGAAUUAUCCGCUGUGGUUUUGCGAUUUAUCUCUUCCUCUGGAGCGUGUGUUAGGGUUUCUGAAAGCCAGACACAGAUCUCAAAUCAAAAACCAAAGUGCAUCUUAUCUAAUAUAAUAUAAGC